UGGAUAGGAGACAAGAAGGCAUCUUCUUGUUUUUAAAAGACCUAGCAAUAGGUAUGCUUAGGGAGGAGCUUGCGUCACAUUAGUUAGUUGGUGGGGUAAAGGCCUACCAAGACUAUGAUGUGUAGCCGGGCUGAGAGGUUGAACGGCCACAUUGGGACUGAGACACGGCCCAAACUCCUACGGGAGGCAGCAGUAGGGAAUUUUCGGCAAUGGAGGAAACUCUGACCGAGCAACGCCGCGUGAACGAUGAAGUAUUUCGGUACGUAAAGUUCUUUUAUUAGGGAAGAAUAAAUGAUGGAAAAAUCAUUCUGACGGUACCUAAUGAAUAAGCCCCGGCUAACUAUGUGCCAGCAGCCGCGGUAAUACAUAGGGGGCAAGCGUUAUCCGGAAUUAUUGGGCGUAAAGGGUGCGUAGGCGGUUAAAUAAGUUUAUGGUCUAAGUGCAAUGCUCAACAUUGUGAUGCUAUAAAAACUGUUUAGCUAGAGUAAGAUAGAGGCAAGUGGAAUUCCAUGUGUAGUGGUAAAAUGCGUAAAUAUAUGGAGGAACACCAGUAGCGAAGGCGGCUUGCUGGGUCUUUACUGACGCUGAGGCACGAAAGCGUGGGGAGCAAACAGGAUUAGAUACCCUGGUAGUCCACGCCGUAAACGAUGAGUACUAAACGUUGGGUAAAACCAGUGUUGAAGUUAACACAUUAAGUACUCCGCCUGAGUAGUACGUACGCAAGUAUGAAACUUAAAGGAAUUGACGGGACUCCGCACAAGCGGUGGAUCAUGUUGUUUAAUUCGAAGGUACCCGAAAAACCUCACCAGGUCUUGACAUGCUUCUGCAAAGCUGUAGAAACACAGUGGAGGUUAUCAGUUGCACAGGUGGUGCAUGGUUGUCGUCAGCUCGUGUCGUGAGAUGUUGGGUUAAGUCCCGCAACGAGCGCAACCCUUAUUGUUAGUUACCAGCACGUAAUGGUGGGGACUUUAGCAAGACUGCCAGUGAUAAAUUGGAGGAAGGUGGGGACGACGUCAAAUCAUCAUGCCCCUUAUGACCUGGGCUACAAACGUGAUACAAUGGCUGUUACAAAGGGUAGCUGAAGCGCAAGUUUUUGGCGAAUCUCAAAAAAACAGUCUCAGUUCGGAUUGAAGUCUGCAACUCGACUUCAUGAAGUUGGAAUCGCUAGUAAUCGCGAAUCAGCAUGUCGCGGUGAAUACGUUCUCGGGGUUUGUACACACCGCCCGUCAA
This 1230-nucleotide ribosomal RNA is filed under the name 'Cassia fistula' flat stem and witches'-broom phytoplasma. RNAcentral's name for it is "bacterial SSU rRNA". It matches the Rfam family "Bacterial small subunit ribosomal RNA", at positions 170 to 1400 of the family's 1533-position model. The record is from RNAcentral. RNAcentral also lists the same sequence under 1 other name. Lineage: Bacteria; Bacillati; Mycoplasmatota; Mollicutes; Acholeplasmatales; Acholeplasmataceae.